UUUCAAAAAACCCUCACGAUUUUGCUUGGUUGCUACGGCGGUCGGAUUCACGAGUUACGACUACAACCUCGGCGACGGCAACUCCUCUCCUCGACGAUUGCUUGUUUGCUCAUUGUUGACCUUUAUUCAGGAAGUUAGCUGCACAAAUCGCAAGCAAAUAGCAGCAACCUACAGUCGAGGUAAAAAAGCCACCAGUCUCAGUGGCACCAAAUAGAAAUGAAUCAGAAGACUGCAUUAUAAUCGAUGCUGAAGAAUACAAGGCCGUUGGCUAUUCUUUCGUGCUAAUGUUUGUGCAACAUACUGAAGCAAUGAUGGAGGAAAUUGAUAGGAUGGAUGAGGAGAUAGAGAUAGAAGAUGUAGAAAACUGGCCAAUUGUGGAUAUAGACAGCGCUGAAAAAAAGAACACGCUUGUAGUUGUGGAGUACAUCGACGACAUCUAUGCUUACUACAAGAAGACUGAGGUAGAAAUGUUACUCCACUCGCCCUUCUAUUAUGUGAAUAGAAUAGGAUAUGGCCUGUAGUAUUUGUAGAAUUCUCAUAUUUUGCAACUGUUUAUUUAAUUCUUACGGUUAUAGUCUCAUUGUGUGAAAGAGUGGUACUAGUUCUCGGCUGAUCCACCUUUAUGAUCAUUAAGCUUAAUAGCUUGCCAUGUUAUUCACAGAAUCUAGGCAUUUAAUUUCAGUAUAGAAUGUAGCUAGUCCGAUAAUCGAGAGCAUCGAAUGUUUCUUACACGCCUUUUGUCAGGCAG
Molecule: non-coding RNA, 748 nt
Organism: Nicotiana tabacum (common tobacco)
Lineage: Eukaryota; Viridiplantae; Streptophyta; Magnoliopsida; Solanales; Solanaceae
Source: RefSeq, a predicted model, not a curated record